This 324-nucleotide ribosomal RNA is filed under the name Triticum aestivum (bread wheat). Its description in RNAcentral is "partial small subunit ribosomal RNA". Lineage: Eukaryota; Viridiplantae; Streptophyta; Magnoliopsida; Poales; Poaceae. The record is from RNAcentral.
AUGGGGGAAGGUGAUGGAGAUGUUGGUGAAGACGACGGAGGUGUUGGUGUAGAUUGUGGUGAUGAUGAUGGCCCUGGUGGCACUCCGGCGCCAUCGGAAGCGAGGGGGAGAGAGCCCCCCUCCUUCUUAUUCCUUGACCUUCUCCCUAGGUGGGAGAAGGGUUUCCCCUCUGGUCCAAUGUCUCCAUGGUGUGGGAGGGGCGAGAGCCCCUCCGAGAUUGGAUCUGUCUCUCUGUCUCUCUCUGUUUUUGUGUUCCAGAUUCUGCCCUUUCACCGUUUCUUAUAUUCCAGGAGAUCCAUAACUCCGAUUGGAUUGAAACUUUGA